This 75-nucleotide transfer RNA is filed under the name Minisyncoccota bacterium. RNAcentral describes it as "tRNA-Arg". It matches the Rfam family "tRNA". Rfam says of the family: Transfer RNA (tRNA) molecules are approximately 80 nucleotides in length. Their secondary structure includes four short double-helical elements and three loops (D, anti-codon, and T loops). Lineage: Bacteria; Bacillati; Minisyncoccota. The record is from RNAcentral.
GCACCCAUAGUUUAACGGAUAGAACACGGGCCUCCGAAGCUCGGAAUGUAGGUUCAAUUCCUACUGGGUGCACCA